GGAGGCAGCAGUGGGGAAUAUUGCACAAUGGGCGCAAGCCUGAUGCAGCCAUGCCGCGUGUAUGAAGAAGGCCUUCGGGUUGUAAAGUACUUUCAGCGAGGAGGAAGGCGUUAAGGUUAAUAACCUUAGCGAUUGACGUUACUCGCAGAAGAAGCACCGGCUAACUCCGUGCCAGCAGCCGCGGUAAUACGGAGGGUGCAAGCGUUAAUCGGAAUUACUGGGCGUAAAGCGCACGCAGGCGGUCUGUCAAGUCGG
Molecule: ribosomal RNA, 255 nt
Filed under: Klebsiella aerogenes
Lineage: Bacteria; Pseudomonadati; Pseudomonadota; Gammaproteobacteria; Enterobacterales; Enterobacteriaceae
Also listed under: 1 other name
Description: partial 16S ribosomal RNA
Rfam family: Bacterial small subunit ribosomal RNA
Source: RNAcentral